GAUGAACGCUAGCUACAGGCUUAACACAUGCAAGUCGCGGGGCAGCAUGGGGGUUGCUUGCAAUCCCCGAUGGCGACCGGCGCACGGGUGAGUAACGCGUAUCCAACCUGCCCUUCACCACGGGAUAACCCGGCGAAAGUCGGACUAAUACCGUAUGUUGUCCAUUGACGGCAUCCGAUUUGGACGUAAGGUUUGGCGGUGAAGGAUGGGGAUGCGUCCGAUUAGCUGGACGGCGGGGUGACGGCCCACCGUGGCGACGAUCGGUAGGGGUUCUGAGAGGAAGGUCCCCCACACUGGAACUGAGACACGGUCCAGACUCCUACGGGAGGCAGCAGUGAGGAAUAUUGGUCAAUGGGCGUAAGCCUGAACCAGCCAAGUAGCGUGCAGGAUGACGGCCCUAUGGGUUGUAAACUGCUUUUAUGCGGGGAUAAAGUGGCCCACGUGUGGGUUUUUGCAGGUACCGCAUGAAUAAGAACCGGCUAAUUCCGUG
Molecule: ribosomal RNA, 490 nt
Filed under: uncultured bacterium
Lineage: Bacteria
Description: partial 16S ribosomal RNA
Rfam family: Bacterial small subunit ribosomal RNA
Source: RNAcentral